Coffea eugenioides is the source of this 1345-nucleotide long non-coding RNA. RefSeq lists it as uncharacterized. NCBI's taxonomy places the organism in Eukaryota, Viridiplantae, Streptophyta, Magnoliopsida, Gentianales, Rubiaceae. The record is from RefSeq and is a predicted model, not a curated record. The transcript has 6 exons.
AGCUUCUCUUCUUUCUUCUUUCUCUGUCUUUCAAAACAUAGCAGCAUCAAUCGAUGUCAAGAGCUUUUCUUUGCUUUUGUCCUCUGGACAAAACUCCAUUUUUUUUAUGAGACCCAGAGGUCUCCCCUCAAUUUCUGGCAUUUGAUUGUACUUGGAAGAGAUUGUAAUCUCAAUUGGAGGGUCCGGAUUUUUCCUUCUGCAGAGUGGUUGCUUAGGAUUUGAUGGACGAUGGGCUCGAGACAGAAAAGGGCUGUAAGGACGGGGAAGGUCAAUAUUUCAUCUCCACUAUCUGAUGUGAAUUUCUAGAAUGCAGAUAUAUGUUCGGAGUAAAAAUGGCCACUUGUGAAAAACAACUGGUGAGUGAAAAUGAAGGAAUAUGAAAACUUGAAGUUGACAUCUCUAAGAAGUAGUUAAAGCUGGAAAUGACCAUACAUUGGGUUUUGUUACUGGUGGGUCUGCUCAUGUGCAAAUGCAAUUUAGCACCAAAGAGUGUGAGAGUCUGGGAUUAACUGAUCUGGCUCUCUGCUUAGACUGCAACACCUUUGCUGAGUAUGUCAAGGACCAAGCUGCAGCCGGGGAAAACUUCAUUGACAGAGUUUUCAUUAUGGGUCUAUAGAGACUGCAUUUUGGAAAUCUCUUUUGUAUGUGGAUAGGAUUAUAUGUUAUUUUAAAGUUUCUUUUAUGCAAAAAAAAAAGGAAAAAGAAAAAGAAAAAAAGAUGUUAAAUUUGUUGUAUGUUGUUGACGUAAAACAUAUCUUGCAUCUGCAAUAUUUUCAUUGUGUAAUUAUUUGAUUUGGUUUUUCAAAACUCUUUCAUUGUCGUAAUAAGAUUUUAGACACGAGAUAAUGGCUUGUUUCUCUUAUCAGUUAUAUGUAGAUCUUUAGUCCAUAUUAUGUUGAAUCCUGUAUCUCUUGCUAUUAUGUAGUCAUCUUUAUCGUGUUGAAUCCUAUUUCUCUUGCUAUUAUGUGGUCGUUUCUAUAUUUUACAAUUAAAUAGGCUUCUUAUCCGACAUAUUUGAGUAUUGCUCUCAAAAAGUUGAGCUUCCUCUUGAAUUUGUUCAUGAGUGGCACAUUUUUUAUGCACAUCAAAUCAUGGCAAAUACAGUUAGUCGAUGCAAGAUGACGUUACAUGGUAUAUAUUACUUUGAAAUUUAUGACAUUGCCAAUCCUAUUCAAUUAGUAGGUAAAGCAAAAAAUGACUUUUCGUCACUUAGUCACUAAGUUAAAAUUAUGGCUUAUUUUCGCUGCUUAAUAAAAUUACAAAAACCUAAUCCUAAAGAUUUUGGUGCACCUUUAUAUAACUUUUCAUGCUUAUUAUCUAAAUUUGAAUAAUUGGACAUUUUUGG